GCUUUAUGCACCAUUGGAUGAGCCUGCACUUGAUUAGUUUGUUGGUGGGGUAAUGGCCUACCAAGACUGUGAUCAAUAGCUGAUUUGAGAGGAUGAUCAGCCACAU
RNAcentral lists this ribosomal RNA (106 nucleotides) under uncultured bacterium. Its description in RNAcentral is "partial 16S ribosomal RNA". It matches the Rfam family "Bacterial small subunit ribosomal RNA", at positions 208 to 313 of the family's 1533-position model. The record is from RNAcentral.